GUCACGGCUCACCCUCCCGCCUCCGGAAAGCUAACUUUAUUUUUAUUGGUAGAAAGACAUCUUCCUGUGCACCUGAUUGGAUAUUUCUAGAGCCAGCAAGACGACUCAAAGGAUGAGAGCAGGUGCCAUGAAAGCUUGAGAGCCAUCGCUUCUACAAACCAUGCGAAGAAAGCACAGAUGUGGUGGCACAAAUCUGUCAGACCGCUACUACGAAGGUGAGCAAAGAAGGAGUUACAUUCUAAAGACAGCUACUGGCUGAAAAUGUUACUAGAAAGAAGAAGAAAUACACCACAGAUUCGUUAUUAACUGUCUAGCUGACUAUCUGUGGUGGACUCGUCACGUAGCUUGGAUGUAUCAUUUAACUUAGAGAAACAAAAGGCAUCAUAGAAAGGCCACCUGGAUCCAGUUCAGUCCCUUUUGUCUACCUUGCCAUGAAAGGACCACUGAAUCCAGCACCCCAAAGCACAUGCAGGAGGUGAACUUUUUAUUUUAUUUUUAAAUUAACGUACCUGAAAGACUAAAUGGCUUGC
Mus caroli (Ryukyu mouse) is the source of this 530-nucleotide long non-coding RNA. RefSeq lists it as uncharacterized. The record is from RefSeq and is a predicted model, not a curated record. Lineage: Eukaryota; Metazoa; Chordata; Mammalia; Rodentia; Muridae.